CCCUUAGAUGUCCGGGGCCGCACGCGCGCUACAAUGGAUGGAUCAACGCGUCAUCCUGGCCCGAAAGGGUUGGGGAACCGCUGAACCUCAUCCGUGGUUGGGAUUGGGGUUUGUAAUUAUUCCCCAUGAACUAGGAAUUCCCAGUAAGCGCGAGUCAUAAGCUCGCGUUGAUUACGUCCCUGCCCUUUGUACACACCGCCCGUCGCUACUACCGAUUGGAUGGUUUAGUGAGAUCCUCGGAUUGGUCACGGCACGGUGGCAACACUGCGUCGGUGUGCCGAGAAGACGAUCAAACUUGAUCAUCUAGAGGAAGUAAAAGUCGUAACA
Molecule: ribosomal RNA, 327 nt
Filed under: uncultured eukaryote
Lineage: Eukaryota
Description: partial 18S ribosomal RNA
Rfam family: Eukaryotic small subunit ribosomal RNA
Source: RNAcentral